RNAcentral lists this long non-coding RNA (683 nucleotides) under Brassica napus (rape). RNAcentral describes it as "long non-coding RNA (BNAP_LNC012843)". The record is from RNAcentral. Lineage: Eukaryota; Viridiplantae; Streptophyta; Magnoliopsida; Brassicales; Brassicaceae.
GUAUUGGGUAUAGCAUCAGGUUUUAUUUCAUAUUUGGUGUCUGAUUCGGUUUCCGGUUCAGCAUUUGGGUUUGAUUGGGGUUCGAGUUCAGCUUUGGGGUUCUGUUCUGCUCCUCCGGAAGGGAAAGGGAAAAGAUUCAGUAGCAGUUGUUAGUGUGUAACAGACUGUGUAAAGCUGAUUAAGUGUACAAGGUGAUUUCUAAUAAAGUAUAAGUGUUGUUUGUAGUUGUUUUGUCUCUUUAAUUUAUCUUCUGCAGUACUAUUGUUGUGUCAUCUUUGCACUAACACUACAGACUGAUAUUGAUUCUUUUCUUGACCAGAGAAGGUUAAGUCUGGACACACUUCAUUCUCCUGGUCAUCUUUUUAUGCUCACUGCCGUCUCUCAUCUUCAAAAUCUUUUGGUGAGCUUUAAAUACAGAUGAUGCAUGGACUUGAGAUACAGAGAUUGACCGUUGUUAUCCUCUUUUGAUGGCUUAGAAAUGACCAAAUCAUCAGCCUUACCCUCAAUACAAGUAGCUGGAACAAUUUGAUCUAUGGUGUCCAGAAUGAUUUUGCCAAAAACAAAUAUAAUUUCACAUGAACCCCCUUCACCAGUAAGGAAUCUUAUAACAUAAAGUAAAAGGUUAUUCUCUUUUCCUCUUGCCAUCUCAUCAAAUAGGGCAAGGAGGAAGCUACACCUGUCCC